RNAcentral lists this long non-coding RNA (754 nucleotides) under Macaca mulatta (Rhesus monkey). RNAcentral's name for it is "lncRNA (ENSMMUG00000053437.1)". The record is from RNAcentral. Lineage: Eukaryota; Metazoa; Chordata; Mammalia; Primates; Cercopithecidae.
UAAAUUCCCAAGAAUUCAAACUUAGAUUUUUAGAGUCCAGCUUACUAUUUAUAAAUGAGGAAAGUAAGACAAAAAGUAAUUCAGUUUUUUUUUUUUUUUUUUUUUCCUAAGGACAUGGAACUUGAGCAGCAGAAACAGGACCGAAACCUGGCUCUUCCCUUAUGCCACAGUCUUUCUAUGUCUUAAAAGCUACAUGUUGUAGCAGAAAGAACGGAGACUUCAGAAUUCUAGUUUCACCUCCUAGUAACAUGUCUUAGGUAUGUUCUGUUUAACAAAUAUGUAUGUGGUCCAUAUUUGUACAUUUUUUCGGUAUGACACAUAUUAUUAUUUAAUCUGCUUGAAGCAAUGUACUUAACUUCUAGAAACUCCUGUUUUCUUACUCGUAAAAUGUUAAUAAUGUAUUCUCCCUUGCAGGGUUAAUGAAAGAAAUAGAGAAAAAACAUGAGAAGCGUGUACCACCAAGUAAACAUUCACUGAAUGGUACCUAUUUUAGUCACUUAGAAAAAUCCUCAUAGAUUUUAAACAGACUAGCCUCGAGUUAUACAAAUAAGCACUAUUAAUGGCAGAAAUGAAAGUAGUUAACUCCAAAGGAUUAAUUCACUGCUGAAGACAGUAUUUUUCAUGAAUCAACAAAAGGGCUUCUGAAAGAUUUCAGACUAUCUAGUCUUUGGUCAUGAAUUCUGUUUAAAACAAGAAAGUUGAGCCAAAGAAGCAAAAGAAUGAGGAGGAGGGGUAGGAGGAGGAGGGAGAGGAG